This 154-nucleotide ribosomal RNA is filed under the name Erpetoichthys calabaricus (reedfish). Its description in RNAcentral is "5.8S ribosomal RNA (ENSECRG00000007923.1)". It matches the Rfam family "5.8S ribosomal RNA". Rfam says of the family: 5.8S ribosomal RNA (5.8S rRNA) is a component of the large subunit of the eukaryotic ribosome. It is transcribed by RNA polymerase I as part of the 45S precursor that also contains 18S and 28S rRNA. Functionally, it is thought that 5.8S rRNA may be involved in ribosome translocation. Lineage: Eukaryota; Metazoa; Chordata; Cladistia; Polypteriformes; Polypteridae. The record is from Rfam by way of RNAcentral.
UACUCUUGGCAGUCGAUCACUCAGCUUGUGUGUCAAUGAAGGACAUAGCUAGCUGCGAGAACUAAUGUGACUUGCAGGACACAAUGAUCAUUGACACUUUGAACUCACCUUGCAGCCCCAGGUACCUCCUGGGGCCAUGUCUGUCUGAGGGUCG